UCCGCUUCAAGUUCUGGGGCAUUAUUAAUUAUUCAUCUCUCCCAGUCCUUUUUCCUGGGAGCAGGAUUUCCCCUGGUUUAGUCUCAUCUUCGGUCAGGUGGAACAAUGGCAGCAUUGGAUGUGAGCAGCGAACGUGCCGAAGAGGACAAAACAAGGUAAGAGGAAGAAUUUCCAAAGCCACUCAUUCCCCCUUGGAGAACUAGACCUGGCUGUUCUUUCUGUCCUGCAUUAAUUGGUAUCAUCCUGAAGAAGAAGCUUCCUUUUUAAGAACAUUACAGCUGCGAGUCAUGUGACCGUGAUUAUGUCAGCUGCGGCAUCAGAAGAGUUAAAAUUAGUAAGGUUUCAGUAAAUUUGACUUAAACUAUGAUUGAAAACUGCUGCGUACCCCUCCGCCUGCACGUUCCGGUAAACUGCCUGCUGUGCCCCUGUGAUGGGCCUCACCUGCUUUCCCCGUGGGGAUUAAUGCAGCUCAAGGAGUGGGGCUGGUUCCCUUCCCCUUAGCUGUGUGACACCUUCCUCUCCCAGAGUAGCCCAGACCAUGAGGGAGCCGCAAUGCAGAUGGAGCCACGGACAGAUCGUUGCUGAGCGGGUCACUUUGGAAGCAGGUGGGCUGCAGAAUUGCUCAGACCCACACCCCUAAGGGCUCUUGCUCAGGGCUUCGGUGAACUUACCUACCUGGUUUUUUCCCCUAUAGUCCAAAACUUUUACCAUGCAAUCAGUCCUGUGACAUUUUUGGAGGGAAAGCUUCAGAGUUCCAAGCACUAGGUAGGUAGGUGGGUGGUCUGAUUCCCAUUUCUGCCCACCACAGGCUGGGCAGGCCUGCCUCCUUCCCGGUCUCCAAGGCCGCCCCUCUGCGGGGCAGAGGGAAGCUGUUGGAAGGCCAUGCCAGUGUUAUCAGAUAAUAAGAUGACAAGGUUUAGGAUAGUGGAGAGAGG
This 935-nucleotide long non-coding RNA is filed under the name Homo sapiens (human). RNAcentral's name for it is "HSALNT0042876". The record is from RNAcentral. Lineage: Eukaryota; Metazoa; Chordata; Mammalia; Primates; Hominidae.